This 253-nucleotide ribosomal RNA is filed under the name uncultured bacterium. Its description in RNAcentral is "partial 16S ribosomal RNA". It matches the Rfam family "Bacterial small subunit ribosomal RNA", at positions 524 to 776 of the family's 1533-position model. The record is from RNAcentral.
UACGAAGGGUGCAAGCGUUAAUCGGAAUUACUGGGCGUAAAGCGUGCGCAGGCGGUUUUGUAAGUCUGUCGUGAAAUCCCCGGGCUUAACCUGGGAAUGGCGAUGGAGACUGCAAGGCUAGAAUCUGGCAGAGGGGGGUAGAAUUCCACGUGUAGCAGUGAAAUGCGUAGAGAUGUGGAGGAACACCGAUGGCGAAGGCAGCCCCCUGGGUCAAGAUUGACGCUCAUGCACGAAAGCGUGGGGAGCAAACAGG